RNAcentral lists this long non-coding RNA (251 nucleotides) under Nicotiana benthamiana. Its description in RNAcentral is "long non-coding RNA (NBEN_LNC001280)". Lineage: Eukaryota; Viridiplantae; Streptophyta; Magnoliopsida; Solanales; Solanaceae. The record is from RNAcentral.
UCUCAUAUAUAUCCGCCCCGUUUUCCCCGUUUUAUGCUUCUAUAUGUUUCAUUAUAUGUGUUUGGUAAAAUUGAGGUAAUUCAGAUAGAGUUCGGCUAGAAAUGAGACAAAUAGUCUUUUUAAGGAAAGGGUAGUUGGAAACGUCAACCGGGUAUUGACUUGUGAGUUAGAGGGCUCAUAAUGGAUUUCUGAUUGUUUGAAUAGUUUCGGGGGAUGAUUUAAGGCUUAGGAGAGCAAUCAGAAGUGAAUUU